GACGAACGCUGGCGGCGUGCUUAACACAUGCAAGUCGAACGGAAAGGCCUCAGCUUGCUGGGGUACUCGAGUGGCGGACGGGUGAGUAACACGUGGGUGAUCUGCCUUGCACUCUGGGAUAAGCUUGGGAAACUGGGUCUAAUACCGGAUAUGAACUGCCUUUAGUGUGGUGGUUGGAAAGUUUUUUCGGUGCAAGAUGAGCUCGCGGCCUAUCAGCUUGAUGGUGGGGUAAUGGCCUACCAAGGCGUCGACGGGUAGCCGGCCUGAGAGGGUGUACGGCCACAUUGGGACUGAGAUACGGCCCAGACUCCUACGGGAGGCAGCAGUGGGGAAUAUUGCACAAUGGGCGGAAGCCUGAUGCAGCGACGCCGCGUGGGGGAUGACGGCCUUCGGGUUGUAAACUCCUUUCGACAGGGACGAAGCUUUUUGUGACGGUACCUGUAUAAGAAGCACCGGCUAACUACGUG
RNAcentral lists this ribosomal RNA (467 nucleotides) under uncultured bacterium. RNAcentral's name for it is "partial 16S ribosomal RNA". It matches the Rfam family "Bacterial small subunit ribosomal RNA", at positions 28 to 507 of the family's 1533-position model. The record is from RNAcentral.